GUGUCCUCCCCCCGCAGUCAUGGCUGCUUCUCUGACCUUCGGGGCCGGAACCUCCGUGGGCCCGUUGCCUUCCUUGUGGCCACAGCCGCCGUGAAGCCAACCAGGCAGCACAAAGAUGUGGUGCUGAACUUGAGCGUGUCUAGCCAGCUAGGCGAGGCGGCCUGCAGGUGCUGCUCAGCCAGGUGCAGCCCCAGCAGCAGGGCCCACAGGCAGGUGCAGAAGGCAUCGAUCCUCCGGAGCCU
Molecule: long non-coding RNA, 242 nt
Filed under: Homo sapiens (human)
Lineage: Eukaryota; Metazoa; Chordata; Mammalia; Primates; Hominidae
Description: HSALNT0001484
Source: RNAcentral